CGCAUGUGACGACGGUGGUAUAUAUUUUGAUUAUUUGAGUUGGAACUACGGGUAAAGAGAGACAGGAGGACAUGGGAUGCAUGGGGUUUAAUGACGCGAUGCAAUUGGGAUAUACAGAUAGAUACAUCCAUCCAUCCAUCAAUACAUUAGACAUGCUGAAUUAAACUUGCCUAUGGAGGAAACGCAGUUAUUGAUCUUUGCUUUUGAUGAAGGUAAGAGGAAUGCAUCCAGUCCCGUACAAAGAAUCAAAAGACUCUCAUCAAGUUGUUUGUUUGCGUGUGCAUGACAGGGGGUAUAUAUAUAAGCAUCAUUGAUGGCAAGCAAGAUGGAAUAUACUCUCUCGCAUAGAACAGA
RNAcentral lists this small RNA (354 nucleotides) under Histoplasma capsulatum var. duboisii H88. Its description in RNAcentral is "Histoplasma capsulatum H88 hypothetical RNA". Lineage: Eukaryota; Fungi; Ascomycota; Eurotiomycetes; Onygenales; Ajellomycetaceae. The record is from RNAcentral.